RNAcentral lists this small nuclear RNA (318 nucleotides) under Ochotona princeps (American pika). Its description in RNAcentral is "7SK RNA (ENSOPRG00000022013.1)". It matches the Rfam family "7SK RNA". From Rfam's summary of the family: 7SK was discovered as an abundant small nuclear RNA in the mid-70s but a possible function has only recently been suggested. Two independent studies have found that 7SK RNA binds the CDK9/cyclin T complex (known as elongation factor P-TEFb). P-TEFb activates transcription by phosphorylating the C-terminal domain of RNA polymerase II. The record is from RNAcentral. Lineage: Eukaryota; Metazoa; Chordata; Mammalia; Lagomorpha; Ochotonidae.
AGAUGUGAGGGCAAUCUGGCUGUGAUGUCUGGCCCUGCAUUGAUCUCCAGAGUUGAUUCUGCUGUUCUGGCUGGCAAAGCAGGUGUCCUCUUCCCCACCCACCGCUCUAUGUGUGUCCCUCCUGAAGCAGCCACACUUGGUCAAAGAGCCAAGAUUCUUCCCGCUAGAGGCGGACUGACUGGUCUUUGGUCAAGGGAACACAGAUAGCUGCCUUCUGCUAGGCUCUCCAAACUCUCAAAUUAUUGUUAUUCUAUUGGGAUUACAGGUGUGAGGAAGGUUCUGUCGAUGUCAUGAAAUGACAAAUUUCUGUUGUCCAUU